AGUGAACGCUGGCGGUAGGCCUAACACAUGCAAGUCGAACGGCAGCACAGUAAGAGCUUGCUCUUACGGGUGGCGAGUGGCGGACGGGUGAGGAAUACAUCGGAAUCUACUUUUUCGUGGGGGAUAACGUAGGGAAACUUACGCUAAUACCGCAUACGACCUACGGGUAAAAGCAGGGGAUCUUCGGACCUUGCGCGAUUGAAUGAGCCGAUGUCGGAUUAGCUAGUUGGCGGGGUAAAGGCCACCAAGGCGACGAUCCGUAGCUGGUCUGAGAGGAUGAUCAGCCACACUGGAACUGAGACACGGUCCAGACUCCUACGGGAGGCAGCAGUGGGGAAUAUUGGACAAUGGGCGCAAGCCUGAUCCAGCCAUACCGCGUGGGUGAAGAAGGCCUUCGGGUUGUAAAGCCCUUUUGUUGGGAAAGAAAAGCAGCAGGUUAAUACCCCGCUGUUCUGACGGUACCCAAAGAAUAAGCACCGGCUAACUUCGUG
RNAcentral lists this ribosomal RNA (491 nucleotides) under uncultured bacterium. Its description in RNAcentral is "partial 16S ribosomal RNA". It matches the Rfam family "Bacterial small subunit ribosomal RNA", at positions 29 to 507 of the family's 1533-position model. The record is from RNAcentral.